Molecule: unclassified non-coding RNA, 221 nt
Filed under: plant metagenome
Description: partial contains small subunit ribosomal RNA, internal transcribed spacer 1, and 5.8S ribosomal RNA
Rfam family: 5.8S ribosomal RNA (bases 173-221)
Source: RNAcentral
UCUCCGUUGGUGAACCAGCGGAGGGAUCAUUAUCGAGUUUAUAACUCCCAAACCCUAUGUGAACUUACCACUUGUUGCUUCGGCGCGCGCUUCGGUGCCGCCGAGGACACUUAAACUCUUUGUUUUUAUAAGCAUUUCUGAGUGGCCGAAAGGCAAAAUACAAAUGAAUCAAAACUUUCAACAACGGAUCUCUUGGUUCUGGCAUCGAUGAAAAACGCAGC